AUCUUACCGGGUCCGGACACACUGAGGAUUGACAGGCAAUAUUAGCACUUAACUUCUUGCGACGUGUUAUGUUAAAUAUGCUAGUCCUUUCAUGAUUAUGUGAUAGGUGGUGCAUGGCCGUUCUUAGUUCGUGGAGUGAUCUGUCUGCUUAAUUGCGUUUCACCAAGGGCCUAUAAUUUUACGUGUGUUGCGGCACUUUGACCCCUCUUUUUUUAAAGAGCGCGUGUCUUGGUUUGCUUAGCUCGCACAAUUAGGUCCUGAAAGCAACGAACGUGACCGCAACCUCUUGUUGCCUUUAUACCAAACGUGCAUAUGUAAUUUUUUUAAAUUGCUUUGCGCGCAAAAAGGCUUUUUAAACUAGAGGGACCGCUGUUACUUUCUUAAACCAGAGGAAGGUUGCGGCAAUAACAGGUCUGUGAUGCCCUUAAAUGUUCCGGGCUGCACACGUGCUACAAUGAUUAUUGCAGUGAGCAUCUCAUUUUUUACACACCGCAUACGCGAGACCAUUUAUUCACCUUCGGGUGCUUUAAAUGUGUUUUCUCUGCGAGCGGUAAAGCCUGCUUCGAAAGUAAGUGGGUAAUCAAUUAGAAGUAAUGAUUUC
RNAcentral lists this ribosomal RNA (601 nucleotides) under Bulimina sp. Its description in RNAcentral is "SSU rRNA". It matches the Rfam family "Eukaryotic small subunit ribosomal RNA", at positions 1212 to 1571 of the family's 1831-position model. Lineage: Eukaryota; Foraminifera; Rotaliida; Buliminidae. The record is from RNAcentral.